GACAGAGGGUGCAAACGUUGUUCGGAAUUACUGGGCGUAAAGCGCGUGUAGGCGGCUAAGUAAGUCGGGCGUGAAAUCCCACGGCUCAACCGUGGAAGUGCACUCGAAACUGCAUAGCUAGAGUCCUGGAGAGGAAGGUGGAAUGCUUGGUGUAGAGGUGAAAUUCGUAGAUAUCAAGCGGAACACCGGUGGCGAAGGCGGCCUUCUGGACAGUGACUGACGCUGAGACGGCGAAAAGCGUGGGGAGCAAACAGGG
This 256-nucleotide ribosomal RNA is filed under the name uncultured bacterium. Its description in RNAcentral is "partial 16S ribosomal RNA". It matches the Rfam family "Bacterial small subunit ribosomal RNA", at positions 524 to 777 of the family's 1533-position model. The record is from RNAcentral.